This is a long non-coding RNA of Oncorhynchus keta (chum salmon), 1340 nucleotides long. RefSeq lists it as uncharacterized. The record is from RefSeq and is a predicted model, not a curated record. NCBI's taxonomy places the organism in Eukaryota, Metazoa, Chordata, Actinopteri, Salmoniformes, Salmonidae. The transcript has 2 exons.
AACUAUCAUCAGACUGUUGGAACAGAGGAGGUGUCUCCUGGUCUCUAACUAUCAGACUGUUGGAACAGAGGAGGUGUCUCCUGGUCUCUAUCUAUCAGACUGUUGGAACAGAGGAGGUGUCUCCUGGUCUCUAUCUAUCAGACUGUUGGAACAGAGGAGGUGUCUCCUGGUCUCUAUCUAUCAGACUGUUGGAACGGAGGAGGUGUCUCCUGGUCUCUAUCUAUCAGACUGUUGGAACAGAGGAGGUGUCUCCUGGUCUCUAACUAUCAGACUGUUGGAACAGAGGAGGUGUCUCCUGGUCUCUAUCUAUCAGACUGUUGGAACAGAGGAGGUGUCUCCUGGUCUCUAACUAUCAGACUGUUGGAACAGAGGAGGUGUCUCCUGGUCUCUAACUAUCAGACUGUUGGAACAGAGGAGGUGUCUCCUGGUCUCUAUCUAUCAGACUGUUGGAACAGAGGAGGUGUCUCCUGGUCUCUAUCUAUCAGACUGUUGGAACGGAGGAGGUGUCUCCUGGUCUCUAACUAUCAGACUGUUGGAACAGAGGAGGUGUCUCCUGGUCUCUAUCUAUCAGACUGUUGGAACAGAGGAGGUGUCUCCUGGUCUCUAUCUAUCAGACUGUUGGAACGGAGGAGGUGUCUCCUGGUCUCUAUCUAUCAGACUGUUGGAACGGAGGAGGUGUUUGGAAACUCUGCACCUGGCUUGAACUCUCUAGCCCCAUCAUGACUCAGUGGAUACACAGACACAUUCUUGAAAGGGAACAUCUAUGCAUGAAUCCUAAAGGGGCUUGAGAGCGUGCUCGUGUGUGUGUGUGUGUGUGUGUGCUCGUGUGUGUGUGUGUGUGUGUGUGUGUCUCCCCCUGUGUGUUGACAUGCCUACAGUAUCCCUGUCACUUUAAAGAAGCCACUAGAACACUGUCCCCCCCCGGCUGGGGCAGGUCGUCUUGCCCAAGCCCUGGCUGGGGCAGGGUGUCUCUAGUCCAACACAGUGUACACCCCAGCAUCUAGUCUAACACAGUGUACACCCCAGCAUCUAGUCCAACACAGUGUACACCACAGCAUCUAGUCCAACACAGUGUACACCACAGCAUCUAGUCUAACACAGUGUACACCACAGCAUCUAGUCCAACACAGUGUACACCACAGCAUCUAGUCCAACACAGUGUACACCACAGCAUCUAGUCCAACACAGUGUACACCACAGCAUCUAGUCUGACAUUGUGUGUGUGUGUGUACUUAUAGCCUCCACUCUACAGUAGAUCAGGACAUUGUGUGUGUGUGUGUGUACUUAUAGCCUCCACUCUACAGUAGAUCAGGACAUUGUGUGUGUGUGUGUGUGUGUGU